This is a small nucleolar RNA of Felis catus (domestic cat), 133 nucleotides long. It matches the Rfam family "Small nucleolar RNA SNORA72". Rfam says of the family: U72 is a member of the H/ACA class of snoRNAs. The snoRNA gene is located in intron 4 of the ribosomal L30 protein gene in human, mouse and chicken. The record is from Rfam. NCBI's taxonomy places the organism in Eukaryota, Metazoa, Chordata, Mammalia, Carnivora, Felidae.
CAGCAAAUAUUCCUGCUGUUCUCAUUUUGUAAAUAAUCAAGACAGGCUAAACCUUUGCUAUAUUAAGAUCAUGCAUGUCUCCCCAAACGUAGUUCUUUCCCUGGAUCUGGUUUUAUCAAUGCUGGUGAUUCAU